RNAcentral lists this ribosomal RNA (200 nucleotides) under uncultured bacterium. RNAcentral's name for it is "partial 16S ribosomal RNA". It matches the Rfam family "Bacterial small subunit ribosomal RNA", at positions 8 to 226 of the family's 1533-position model. The record is from RNAcentral.
AGAGUUUGAUCAUGGCUCAGAAUCAACGCUGGCGGCGCGCUUAACACAUGCAAGUCGCACGAGAAAGGGGCAACCUGAGUAAAGUGGCGUACUGGUGAGUAACACGUGGAUCAUCUACCUUUUAGUGGGGAAUAACCCUGGGAAACCGGGGCUAAUACCGCAUAAGCCUGUGAAGGGAAAGCAGCAAUGCGCUGAAAGAG